UAGGGAAUCUUCGGCAAUGGGGGCAACCCUGACCGAGCAACGCCGCGUGAGUGAAGAAGGUUUUCGGAUCGUAAAGCUCUGUUGUAAGAGAAGAACGUGUGUGAGGGUGGAAAGUUCACACAGUGACGGUAACUUACCAGAAAGGGACGGCUAACUACGUGCCAGCAGCCGCGGUAAUACGAAGGUCCCGAGCGUUUUCCGGAUUUAUUGGGCGUAAAGCGAGCGCAGGCGGUUUAAUAAGUCUGAAGUUAAAGGCAGUGGCUUAACCAUUGUUCGCUUUGGAAACUGUUAAACUUGAGUGCAGAAGGGGAGAGUGGAAUUCCAUGUGUAGCGGUGAAAUGCGUAGAUAUAUGGAGGAACACCGGUGGCGAAAGCGGCUCUCUGGUCUGUAACUGACGCUGAGGCUCGAAAGCGUGGGGAGCAAACAGG
Molecule: ribosomal RNA, 429 nt
Filed under: bacterium
Lineage: Bacteria
Description: partial 16S ribosomal RNA
Rfam family: Bacterial small subunit ribosomal RNA
Source: RNAcentral